GAUGAACGCUCGCGGCAGGCCUAACACAUGCAAGUCGAGGGAGAAGCCCUUUCGGGGGCAGAAACCGGCGCACGGGUGCGUAACGCGUAUGCAACCUACCUUUCACAGGGGGAUAGCCCGAAGAAAUUUGGAUUAAUACCCCAUAAUAUUAUUGGAUGGCAUCAUUUGAUAAUUAAAACUGCGGUGGUGAAAGAUGGGCAUGCGUCCUAUUAGCUAGUUGGAGUGGUAACGGCACCCCAAGGCUACGAUAGGUAGGGGUCCUGAGAGGGAGAUCCCCCACACGGGUACUGAGACAGGGACCAGACUCCUACGGGAGGCAGCAGUGAGGAAUAUUGGUCAAUGGUCGGAAGACUGAACCAGCCAUGCCGCGUGCAGGAAGAAUGCCUUAUGGGUUGUAAACUGCUUUUAUAUGGGAAGAAUAAGGCGUACGUGUACGUUGAUGACGGUACCAUAUGAAUAAGCAUCGGCUAACUCCGUG
This 478-nucleotide ribosomal RNA is filed under the name uncultured bacterium. RNAcentral's name for it is "partial 16S ribosomal RNA". It matches the Rfam family "Bacterial small subunit ribosomal RNA", at positions 28 to 507 of the family's 1533-position model. The record is from RNAcentral.